This is a long non-coding RNA of Mastomys coucha (southern multimammate mouse), 576 nucleotides long. RefSeq lists it as uncharacterized. Lineage: Eukaryota; Metazoa; Chordata; Mammalia; Rodentia; Muridae. The record is from RefSeq and is a predicted model, not a curated record. The transcript is spliced from 3 exons.
GCAAGUUCUCCAGUAGCCCUCUUUUAUUUCCUUGGAUGUCUUUUUUUUUUCUUCCUACAAUAAAGGAGUACAGGAAAGAACUCCAGUCCAAAGAGUGAAUGACGGCUGGUAAAGGCCUCUGUGUGAGGUCUUUCGAAAGAUAAUCUCUUUGUAAAGAUCUGGGUGACUGGAAUUUCCCUCCCCUUCUCCAGACGCCCCCUCCCCAACCUUCCUCUAAUACAAAUCCUUAAGCAUUAAGUCAGGCGGAAAAUGAGUCUGCUCUGCAUUUGUCUUCCUGAAUGGCAGUCAACUCCUGCUUAAUCUUUCAACAUAUAUUUGUUCAGUGGAUCAACAGAUUGUUGUUAAGAACUGAACUAGAGUUUGAACAUGCUAGGAAAGUGUUUGAAGGCUAGUAUAUCUCCAGACCUUUGAGCCCAAUAAUCUUCAGCACCAAGGUGCAGAAACAAGUAAAUCAGAUUACAGUGAUUUUUCCUUUUUGAGAGAAGAACACUUAUUGAUUGCCCUUGAGAUUCAAUGUCUUCCAAAUAUUAGCCUGGGGAACAGGAAGCCUCCGAGUUGCCAUGUGUCUCUGCUUGC